This 21-nucleotide unclassified non-coding RNA is filed under the name Mus musculus (house mouse). RNAcentral describes it as "oocyte_clustered_small_RNA5084". Lineage: Eukaryota; Metazoa; Chordata; Mammalia; Rodentia; Muridae. The record is from RNAcentral.
UCGCACGGCAGACGGCGGAGG